GACGAACGCUGGCGGCGUGCUUAACACAUGCAAGUCGAACGGAAAGGCCCUGCUUUUGUGGGGUGCUCGAGUGGCGAACGGGUGAGUAACACGUGAGUAACCUGCCCUUGACCUUGGGAUAACUUCAGGAAACUGGGGCUAAUACCGGAUAGGAGCUCCUGCUGCAUGGUGGGGGUUGGAAAGUUUCGGCGGUUGGGGAUGGACUCGCGGCUUAUCAGCUUGUUGGUGGGGUAGUGGCUUACCAAGGCUUUGACGGGUAGCCGGCCUGAGAGGGUGACCGGCCACAUUUGGACUGAGAUACGGCCCAGACUCCUACGGGAGGCAGCAGUGGGGAAUAUUGCACAAUGGGCGGAAGCCUGAUGCAGCAACGCCGCGUGCGGGAUGACGGCCUUCGGGUUGUAAACCGCUUUCGCCUGUGACGAAGCGUGAGUGACGGUAAUGGGUAAAGAAGCACCGGCUAACUACGUG
RNAcentral lists this ribosomal RNA (468 nucleotides) under uncultured bacterium. RNAcentral's name for it is "partial 16S ribosomal RNA". It matches the Rfam family "Bacterial small subunit ribosomal RNA", at positions 28 to 507 of the family's 1533-position model. The record is from RNAcentral.